This 246-nucleotide ribosomal RNA is filed under the name uncultured bacterium. RNAcentral's name for it is "partial 16S ribosomal RNA". It matches the Rfam family "Bacterial small subunit ribosomal RNA", at positions 88 to 334 of the family's 1533-position model. The record is from RNAcentral.
CCGGCGACCGGCGCACGGGUGAGUAACACGUAUGCAAUCCACCUGUAACAGGGGGAGUAACCCGGAGAAAUCCGGACUAAUACCCCAUAAUAUCAUAGAAGGCAUCUUUUAUGGUUGAAAAUUCCGAUGGUUAGAGAUGGGCAUGCGUUGUAUUAGCUAGUUGGUGGGGUAACGGCUCACCAAGGCGACGAUACAUAGGGGGACUGAGAGGUUAACCCCCCACACUGGUACUGAGACACGGACCAG